Molecule: ribosomal RNA, 253 nt
Filed under: uncultured bacterium
Lineage: Bacteria
Description: partial 16S ribosomal RNA
Rfam family: Bacterial small subunit ribosomal RNA
Source: RNAcentral
UACGUAGGGUGCGAGCGUUAAUCGGAAUUACUGGGCGUAAAGCGUGCGCAGGCGGUGAGCUGUGUCCGAUGUGAAAGCCCCGGGCUUAACCUGGGAAUGGCAUUGGAAACUGGCUCGCUGGAGUGUGGCAGAGGGGGGUGGAAUUCCGCGUGUAGCAGUGAAAUGCGCAGAUAUCAGGAGGAACACCGGUGGCGAAGGCGGAUCUCUGGGCCAUUACUGACGCUGAGGAGCGAAAGCGUGGGGAGCGAACAGG